This is a long non-coding RNA of Mus musculus (house mouse), 230 nucleotides long. RefSeq annotates it as predicted gene, 52683. The transcript is spliced from 3 exons. Lineage: Eukaryota; Metazoa; Chordata; Mammalia; Rodentia; Muridae. The record is from RefSeq and is a predicted model, not a curated record.
UCACAAGGAGGGCUUGGCCGAGAUCGAGAACGAUGAAGUGGGAAUGGCUGCUACCUGUGGAAAGUGGGUCCUGGGUCCCCGAUGCCCAGCUGUACAGGGAAAGUGACAAGAACCAGAUGAGAUGGUGGCAGAUCUGGAAACUGCAGCAGUCGUUGUGACAUACUGUAAAAGAGCCAGCUCUUCAGGAGGGAAAAAGGAAGACCCACAGGCAUCGGCUCCCAAUCUUCUCC